Long non-coding RNA from Balaenoptera ricei (Rice's whale), 958 nucleotides. RefSeq lists it as uncharacterized. The transcript is spliced from 3 exons. NCBI's taxonomy places the organism in Eukaryota, Metazoa, Chordata, Mammalia, Artiodactyla, Balaenopteridae. The record is from RefSeq and is a predicted model, not a curated record.
UCCGGGGGGCCGCGGCCAGUAACCCCACCCGCCCAGACGCGGCUGCCUGAGGGAAGGAGGGGGGGGCGGCGCCCCUUCCCAGCGGAGCGGCCUCGGAAGCGCGCAGGCAUCCGAAACUCGGAUCCCGAAGAUGCCCAGGCUCCACCCAAAAGCCCUUAACCAGGCUGCCGGCUCUGAAUCUGACAGCUGGGGAUCCGACAUGGCCCCCGGGCGGGCGGCGCUGAGGCCCAGUCUCCAGCCGCGGCCGUCCGCGCACGCGCACACCGUCUUGCCCGUGCGGCCAGGCCUUCAAACUUGGACUGAAUUAUACCACUGGCUCUCCUGGGUCUCCAGCUUACAAACAGAAGAUCAUGGGACUUCUCAGCCUCCAUAAUCCUAAUCCUGAGGCCACCACUGUGCCAGGAAGAAGCCGGGGAUGCAGGCCCACAUAAGAGAGUGGCUCAGCGCCCAGCCAUCCCAGCUGAGCCCAGCAUCCAGUGGCUGCAGUCACCCGAGCGAACCCAGACAAGAUGAGUAGAAGGACUGCCCAGCCAACCCGCAGAACUGUGAAAAAGAAUGAAUUGUCAUUUUAAGCCACUAAGUGUGGAGUGGCUUGUUUCUCUGCAAUAAGCAACUAAAACACUUUGCAGGGUAACUUCCAAGACAAGGUCACUUCAAGGUUUUCAGGCAAGGCAGCUUGUGCUGCACGGGGGUUUACUGGAGCUAGGGGUGCUCUAAAUCAUCCAAAUCCUGCCAUAUGGCCUCUAAUUCCCUCCCUGAGAUCAGUGCCCUAAAUUUCACCUGAGAUCUAGCAGCACUGUGAAUUCAGCUGACAAACUGACAAUGUAAUUUGUUGACUGCAGCAUCAAACUCCUGUCUUGAUAAGUUAUAUAACAUAGCUUAGCUCUCCCCUCCCGUUGGGCCUCCUCUCGCCUCCCCUCUUGAGUUUGUCAUCUCUGGUUUACACCAAGACAGAAGA